Molecule: ribosomal RNA, 468 nt
Filed under: uncultured bacterium
Lineage: Bacteria
Description: partial 16S ribosomal RNA
Rfam family: Bacterial small subunit ribosomal RNA
Source: RNAcentral
GACGAACGCUGGCGGCGUGCUUAACACAUGCAAGUCGAACGGAAAGGCCCUGCUUUUGUUGGGUGCUCGAUUGGCGCACGGGUGAGUAACACGUGUGUAACCUGCCCUUGACUUUGGGAUAACUUUAGGAAAAUGGGGCUCAUACCGGAUAUGAGCUCCUGCUGCAUGGUGGGGGUUGGAAAGUUUCGGCGGUUGGGGCUGGACUCGCGGCUUAUCCGCUUGUUGGUGGGGUUGUGGCUUACCCAGGCUUUGACGGGUAGCCGGCCUGAGAGGGUGACCGGCCACAGUGGGACUGAGAUACGGCCGAAACUCCUACGGGAGGCAGCAGGGGGGAAGAGUGCAGGAGGGGCGGAAGCCUGAUGCAGCAACGCCGCGUGCGGUAUGACGGCCUUCGGGUUGUAAACCGCUUUCGCCUGUGACGAAGCGUGAGUGACGGUAAUGGGUAAAGAAGCACGGGGUAACUACGUG